This 690-nucleotide ribosomal RNA is filed under the name Pseudomonadota bacterium. RNAcentral describes it as "bacterial SSU rRNA". It matches the Rfam family "Bacterial small subunit ribosomal RNA", at positions 33 to 722 of the family's 1533-position model. Lineage: Bacteria; Pseudomonadati; Pseudomonadota. The record is from RNAcentral.
ACGCUGGCGGAAUGCUUUACACAUGCAAGUCGAACGGUAGAGGGGGCAACCCCUUGAGAGUGGCGAACGGGUGAGUAAUAUAUCGGAACGUGCCCAGUCGUGGGGGAUAACGUAGUGAAAAUUACGCUAAUACCGCAUACGAUCUAAGGAUGAAAGCGGGGGAUCGCAAGACCUCGCGCGACUGGAGCGGCCGAUAUCAGAUUAGGUAGUUGGUAGGGUAAAGGCCUACCAAGCCAACGAUCUGUAGCUGGUCUGAGAGGACGACCAGCCACACUGGAACUGAGACACGGUCCAGACUCCUACGGGAGGCAGCAGUGGGGAAUUUUGGACAAUGGGCGAAAGCCUGAUCCAGCCAUUCCGCGUGCAGGAUGAAGGCCCUCGGGUUGUAAACUGCUUUUGUACAGAACGAAAAGGUUUCUAUUAAUACUAGGAGCUCAUGACGGUACUGUAAGAAUAAGCACCGGCUAACUACGUGCCAGCAGCCGCGGUAAUACGUAGGGUGCAAGCGUUAAUCGGAAUUACUGGGCGUAAAGCGUGCGCAGGCGGUUAUAUAAGUCAGAUGUGAAAUCCCCGGGCUCAACCUGGGAACUGCAUUUGAGACUGUAUAGCUAGAGUACGGUAGAGGGGGAUGGAAUUCCGCGUGUAGCAGUGAAAUGCGUAGAUAUGCGGAGGAACACCGAUGGCGAAGGC